AGUGAACGCUGGCGGUAGGCCUAACACAUGCAAGUCGAACGGCAGCACAGUAAGAGCUUGCUCUUACGGGUGGCGAGUGGCGGACGGGUGAGGAAUACAUCGGAAUCUACCUUUUCGUGGGGGAUAACGUAGGGAAACUUACGCUAAUACCGCAUACGACCUACGGGUGAAAGCAGGGGAUCUUCGGACCUUGCGCGAUUGAAUGAGCCGAUGUCGGAUUAGCUAGUUGGCGGGGUAAAGGCCCACCAAGGCGACGAUCCGUAGCUGGUCUGAGAGGAUGAUCAGCCACACUGGAACUGAGACACGGUCCAGACUCCUACGGGAGGCAGCAGUGGGGAAUAUUGGACAAUGGGCGCAAGCCUGAUCCAGCCAUACCGCGUGGGUGAAGAAGGCCUUCGGGUCGUAAAGCCCUUUUGUUGGGAAAGAAAAGCAGCAGGUUAAUACCCCGCUGUUCUGACGGUACCCAAAGAAUAAGCACCGGCUAACUUCGUG
This 492-nucleotide ribosomal RNA is filed under the name uncultured bacterium. RNAcentral's name for it is "partial 16S ribosomal RNA". It matches the Rfam family "Bacterial small subunit ribosomal RNA", at positions 29 to 507 of the family's 1533-position model. The record is from RNAcentral.